UAAGACGUAGGGGGCCAGCGUUGUUCGGAAUUACUGGGUGUAAAGGGUUCGUAGGCGGUGCGGCAAGUUGGGAGUGAAAUCUCUGGGCUUAACCCAGAGGCUGCUUCCAAAACUGCUGUGCUUGAGUGUGGGAGAGGCGCGUGGAAUUGCAGGUGUAGCGGUGAAAUGCGUAGAUAUCUGCAGGAACACCCGUGGCGAAAGCGGCGCGCUGGACCACUACUGACGCUGAGGAACGAAAGCUAGGGGAGCAAACAGGAUUAGAUACCCUGGUAGUCCUAGCCCUAAACGAUCAGGACUUGGGGUGCCACCCGUUCGGGUGUCGUCCCGGAGCUAACGCGUUAAGUCCUGCACCUGGGGAGUACGGUCGCAAGACUG
RNAcentral lists this ribosomal RNA (375 nucleotides) under uncultured bacterium. RNAcentral describes it as "bacterial SSU rRNA". It matches the Rfam family "Bacterial small subunit ribosomal RNA", at positions 521 to 896 of the family's 1533-position model. The record is from RNAcentral.